AGUCCUUGGAUAUUACACAGUACUACAGUACAAUAAAAUCCAAUAAGAGAAAUAAACAAGGGGAGUGAUGGCCAGACCUGGUGUCUGAGUGAUU
This 94-nucleotide small nucleolar RNA is filed under the name Dipodomys ordii (Ord's kangaroo rat). Its description in RNAcentral is "Small nucleolar RNA SNORD86 (ENSDORG00000022713.2)". Lineage: Eukaryota; Metazoa; Chordata; Mammalia; Rodentia; Heteromyidae. The record is from RNAcentral.